UGGGGAAUAUUGCACAAUGGGCGAAAGCCUGAUGCAGCGACGCCGCGUGGGGGAUGAAGGCCUUCGGGUUGUAAACUUCUUUUGCUCUGAACAAGGCAUGCCUUUGGGGUGUGUUGAGUGUAGGGGUUGAUUAGCGCCGGCUAACUACGUGCCAGCAGCCGCGGUAAUACGUAGGGCGCGAGCGUUGUCCGGAAUUAUUGGGCGUAAAGGGCUUGUAGGUGGCUGGUUGCGUCUGUCGUGAAAGCUCAUGGCUUAACUGUGGGUUUGCGGUGGGUACGGGCUGGCUUGAGUGCAGUAGGGGAGGCUGGAAUUCCUGGUGUAGCGGUGGAAUGCGCAGAUAUCAGGAGGAAUACCGGUGGCGAAGGCGGGUCUCUGGGCUGUUACUGACGCUGAGGAGCGAAAGCGUGGGGAGCGAACAGG
Molecule: ribosomal RNA, 420 nt
Filed under: Fusobacteriota bacterium
Lineage: Bacteria; Fusobacteriati; Fusobacteriota
Description: Fusobacteria bacterium partial 16S ribosomal RNA
Rfam family: Bacterial small subunit ribosomal RNA
Source: RNAcentral